UACACUCCUACGGGAGGCAGCAGUGGGGAAUUUUGGACAAUGGGCGAAAGCCUGAUCCGGCAAUGCCGCGUGAGUGAAGAAGGCCUUCGGGUUGUAAAGCUCUUUUGUCAGGGAAGAAACGGUGAAAGCUAAUAUCUUUUGCUAAUGACGGUACCUGAAGAAUAAGCACCGGCUAACUACGUGCCAGCAGCCGCGGUAAUACGUAGGGUGCAAGCGUUAAUCGGAAUUACUGGGCGUAAAGCGUGCGCAGGCGGUUUUGUAAGUCUGAUGUGAAAUCCCCGGGCUCAACCUGGGAAUUGCAUUGGAGACUGCAAGGCUAGAAUCUGGCAGAGGGGGGUAGAAUUCCACGUGUAGCAGUGAAAUGCGUAGAUAUGUGGAGGAACACCGAUGGCGAAGGCAGCCCCCUGGGUCAAGAUUGACGCUCAUGCACGAAAGCGUGGGGAGCAAACAGGAUUAGAUACCCCGGUAGUCC
Molecule: ribosomal RNA, 472 nt
Filed under: uncultured organism
Description: partial 16S ribosomal RNA
Rfam family: Bacterial small subunit ribosomal RNA
Source: RNAcentral